Brienomyrus brachyistius is the source of this 657-nucleotide long non-coding RNA. RefSeq lists it as uncharacterized. Lineage: Eukaryota; Metazoa; Chordata; Actinopteri; Osteoglossiformes; Mormyridae. The transcript is spliced from 3 exons. The record is from RefSeq and is a predicted model, not a curated record.
AUUAGUUUGUUUAUGUGUUGCUAUUUUUGUCACAUGCUAUAAAUAAAUGGAUUUAUGGCAAAUGGUAAAAGAAUUAUUUAUCUACGGUCUAUGAUUUGAUGUGUCAUAUUAAAAAAGGAAGCAGCCAGGCUUGCAGGGAGGUGACCUGCCAUGCAGAAGUGGGAUAGGAUCGGCCUGUUUCAUCUACAAACAUCACCAGAGACCGCCGUGUCAGCCGCAGGAGCCUCUGCCAGCGCCGUGCUGGAGUGAGGGGCGGCUCGCAGAAUGACAGAGAAACACUGCAGCUGAAACAAGCCUCACUACGGAAUUCCUUUCUGCAUAUUAGAUGCUAAAUCCCAUAAUAAUUUCACACUGAUCAAAGACCAAACACAUCAGACCUGGUUUGUGCUGAGUACAUAGAGACACUUAAAGGAUUCACAUGCAUCUUAAGUGUUUACAUGGGAUUCAACACAGGUGCUGGAGACUCACAAAGUUUGCACCAUUAUUUUACAUCUUUUUAGCAGACGUUUUCGCCAUACAAGUGCGAAAUUAGACCGACGUACAAGUAAGAAACCAGAAUCAGUCCCUGGUGCAGUUGCGGGAUAGGGGUCUUGCUCAAGGGCCCAAUGGUGACAUCAUUGUGGCGAGCAUGGGAUUUCAACCUUACAAUCACACACC